CGCAUCUGUGCAUGCAGCAUAUCAAUAAGCGGAGGAAAAGAAACUAACAAGGAUUCCCUUAGUAACGGCGAGUGAAGCGGGAAGAGCUCAAAUUUGAAGUCUUCAAGGUUUUACCUUGACGAAUUGUAGUUUAAAGAAGUGUUUUCUGUUGAAGUUUUGGUAAAAGUUCUUUGGAAUAGGACAUCAUAGAGGGUGAGAAUCCCGUAUUUGACCAUUAUUUUCAGCUGUGUGAUACACUUUCAAAGAGUCGGAUUGUUUGGGAAUGCAGUCCAAAAUGGGUGGUAAAUUUCAUCUAAAGCUAAAUAUUGGCGAGAGACCGAUAGCGAACAAGUACCGUGAGGGAAAGAUGAAAAGAACUUUGAAGAGAGAGUUAAACAGUACGUGAAAUUGUCAAAAGGGAAGCGUUUGACACCAGUGUUGUUUUCUCGAAAAUCAAUUAAAAAGAGUUAGAUUUUGUUGUGUAUUGACCUUAACAGCUUGCAUUUCAAUUUUCUUGCUUUUUUUAAUGCACUUUUCGUUUAACAAGUCAACAUCAGUUUCUUUUGUUGUAAAAAGGUCAUUGGAAGGUGGCUUUCUUUUCGGAGAAAGUGUUUAUAGCCUUUGACUCCUGCAAUCGGAGAGACUGAGGUCUGCAGCGUAGAUCCUUCGGGGUUAGAUACAUUUGUGCUAAGUUAUAGCUUUUUAUAGACAACUUGUUGACUAUGAUUAGUCUUGUAGCUUACUCGCUUAUGCUAUUUUACCUACGCUUAGGAUGUUGAUGUGAUACUGCGAGCA
RNAcentral lists this ribosomal RNA (774 nucleotides) under uncultured Neocallimastigales. RNAcentral's name for it is "partial large subunit ribosomal RNA". It matches the Rfam family "Eukaryotic large subunit ribosomal RNA", at positions 26 to 629 of the family's 3401-position model. The record is from RNAcentral. Lineage: Eukaryota; Fungi; Neocallimastigomycota; Neocallimastigomycetes; Neocallimastigales.